GCCAGGGGGUGGGCGGGUGUGUGUGCUACACUUGGAUGAAUCCUUCAGUCUCCAGUCUCUUCCUCACCUAACUCUGUGGGUGGCCAUUGUUCUGUCACCUAUGGCUCCCAGUGCAUUUUGCAGAUGAAAACAAAAAAGUAGAGAAAAAGGAAAUGAAUUCCAGGAGAUCACACAGCUUGUAGCCAAUGGAGUCAAGAUCAGAGCCAAUGAAGACUUGGCUCCAAAGUCCCGAUUACCCCUGUACUACCUCUCACCAGAUGCCCAUCUCUUCAAAUCUACCCCCCGCCCCCACCUUUUUUCAGGGUUGGGGAUCUGCAGACAAGAAAACAAGAGGCUCCUUAUGUCUUCCAGCAAAUCCUGACUAGGAGUUAAACACAAACUACUAGAGAGAUUCCCUUGGGAAAUAGGUCAAGGAUGGGCUUAGAGAAAGAAAAAAACAGAUAAAGAAAGGUACCAGAUGGCCUUGGGACGUGCACCAAGAGACCAGAAAAAGAGCUGACAGGCAGAACACAGAGAGAAAGCCAGGCACACAAAUGAUACUCCAAUAAAAUAUAGGGGAAGGCGUGUGUGUAUGUGACUAAGGCAGGAUGUACUCAAACCUCUGCACUAACAUCUUCACGUAUACACGUGUGUUCACUCUGGAGUCAUUAUUCACUCUAGGGUCAUUACAGAGUAUAACAGAUAUCCACUCUACAUUAUUCACUCUAGGGUCAUUACAGAGUAUAACAGAUAUCCACAUGUCUCCUUACUAACUCUAACCUAACUAUUAAUAAGACACCCCCUAACUAGCUGCUCACAGCAAAGAUAAGGCCUUAAAAGGUAGUUCAAGGACAAGAAAACAGACAGAAAGAAGCUGCCCAUAGACCACUGGAAGAAAUGAUGGAGGGCAGAGGUGCCCGGAAGCCAAUUCAGUAAUGGCAAGUUGAGGGGAGAGGGGGCGGCCUCUAAACCCACCCCCCAUAAAAGUAGCUGAGGACAAAAGCCCAUGGGUCCUCCAUCUCUGUGGAAUCCCCUGCCCUGAUUCUUUCUUAUCAGGGUAACUAUCUUCUUUCCUCCUUCCUUUUUCUCUUUAUGAGUAAAGUG
Chinchilla lanigera (long-tailed chinchilla) is the source of this 1083-nucleotide long non-coding RNA. RefSeq lists it as uncharacterized. NCBI's taxonomy places the organism in Eukaryota, Metazoa, Chordata, Mammalia, Rodentia, Chinchillidae. The transcript has 3 exons. The record is from RefSeq and is a predicted model, not a curated record.